CUACGGGAGGCAGCAGUGAGGAAUAUUGGACAAUGGGCGAAAGCCUGAUCCAGCCAUGCCGCGUGUGUGAUGAAGGCCCUAGGGUUGUAAAGCACUUUCGACGGGGAUGAUAAUGACCGUACCCGUAGAAGAAGCCACGGCUAAAUUCGUGCCAGCAGCCGCGGUAAUACGAAUGUGGCAAGCGUUGUUCGGAAUCACUGGGCGUAAAGAAUGCGUAGGCGGCUUGACAAGUCAGGAGUGAAAUCCCAGGGCUCAACCUUGGAACUGCUUUUGAAACUGUUAGGCUAGCGUCCCGGAGGGGUUGACGGAAUUCCGAGUGUAGAGGUGAAAUUCGCAGAUAUUCGGAGGAACACCAGUGGCGUAAGCGGUCAACUGGACGGGUACAGACGCUGAGGCAUGAAAGUGUGGGGAGCAAACAGGAUUAGAAACCCUGGUAGUCC
RNAcentral lists this ribosomal RNA (440 nucleotides) under uncultured bacterium. RNAcentral's name for it is "bacterial SSU rRNA". It matches the Rfam family "Bacterial small subunit ribosomal RNA", at positions 339 to 796 of the family's 1533-position model. The record is from RNAcentral.